RNAcentral lists this ribosomal RNA (500 nucleotides) under bacterium DASA 57075. RNAcentral's name for it is "bacterial SSU rRNA". It matches the Rfam family "Bacterial small subunit ribosomal RNA", at positions 41 to 543 of the family's 1533-position model. The record is from RNAcentral.
GGAGGGCGGCUACAUGCAGCGAGCGGUACUUUUCUAGCUUGCUGAAGAUGACAAGCGGCGGACGGGUGAUUAAUGCUUGGAAACAUGCCUUUAGGUGGGGGACAACAUUUGGAACCAACUGCUAAUACCCCAUAAUGUCUACGGACCAAAGGGGGCUUCGGCUCUCCCCUUUAGAUUGGCCCAAGUGGGAUUACCUAGUUGGUGAGGUAACGGCUCACCAAGGCGACAAUCCCUAGCUGGUUUGAGAGGAUGAUCAGCCACACUGGAACUGAGACACGGUCCAGACUCCUACGGGAGGCAGCAGUGGGAAAUAUUGCACAAUGGGCGCAAGCCUGAUGCAGCCAUGCCGCGUGUGUGAAGAAGGCCUUCGGUUUGUAAAGCACUUUCAAUAAGGAAGAAAGGUUGGUGGUUAAUACCCAUCAGCUGUGACGUUACUUACAGAAGAACCACCGGCUAACUCCCUGCCAGCAGCCGCGGUAAUACGGAGGGUGCGAGCGUUA